CAGACCAUCCGCCAAAUCAAUGCA
RNAcentral lists this non-coding RNA (24 nucleotides) under Arabidopsis thaliana (thale cress). The record is from RNAcentral. Lineage: Eukaryota; Viridiplantae; Streptophyta; Magnoliopsida; Brassicales; Brassicaceae.